GGUCUUUAGUUUUUUAUUUAAGAUCAGGCCUGCCCAUUGAUUUGAAAAAUUAAAAGGCUGCGGUAUUUUAACUGUACGAAGGUAGCAUAAUCAUUUGUCUUUUAAUUGGAGGCUAGAAUGAAUGGUUUGAUGAGAAAUAAACUUUCUUCUUUUAAUUUAUAUUAACUUAAUUUUUUAGUUAAAAAGCUAAAAUUUUUUUAUAGGACGAGAAGACCCUAUAGAAGUUGACUAUAUUAAUAAUUUAGUGUUUUUUGUUGUUAAAAUAUUUUUUUAAAUUAUAUAGUUUUGUUGGGGUGACAUUAAAAUUUAUUUAACUUUUAAUAUUUUUUUCAUUAAUUUAUGUUUUUUUGAUCCAGUAUUUAUUGAUUAAAAGUUUAACUUACCUUAGGGAUAACAGCGUAAUUUUUUCGGAGAGCUCAUAUCGAUGAAUAAAGUUUGCGA
This 441-nucleotide ribosomal RNA is filed under the name Limnogonus pectoralis. Its description in RNAcentral is "partial 16S large subunit ribosomal RNA". Lineage: Eukaryota; Metazoa; Arthropoda; Insecta; Hemiptera; Gerridae. The record is from RNAcentral.